GGAUUCAGAGAGCUUGGGCUUGUUGCAUAAUUAUUAAUCACUGACCUGCUUGUCUCUUCUGUGAGCCACGAACUCCUCAAGUACAUAGGACUCAUUCUCCGAAUGACCCCGGAACACCUGGUGUUAUGGACCAGCACGGAGCCCAGUGCAACAACAGUGGAAAGGGCGGAGCACAUCUGGAAAACAUACCUGCCGUUGAAAUCAGAUCCUUGAAUUUGCGUAACAGAACCCAGGAUUUGAGAUGGAUGCCUGAUUUGAACUGACCAGAUGUCUGGAGGUGGGAAGUUCUGCUUGUUCCAUGACACUACCUGUAAUGUGAUUAUUUUCCAGGGGAACUCAAACCAGACCUUCAGCUUGGCUGCUGGAACUUGGUGUACCAAAUGGCCUUGAUUGAGAUCUUCAGUUUCUGGCUGGCUAUCUUUCAGGAACCAGUCUUUGCUACUAGAGCCUGUCUGUGUACAUCCUUAUGAUUUGGAGAAAGUCCUGGAAGCCUCUCCAGUAAUUAAUGUGGGCAAAACCCAUUCACUGCCCAGUUCCUUCUUCCUGUCCAGUGGAUGGCCAAAGCCAGCAAUCCGAGAAGAGCCACUGGGCUCCGGGUGCCUUCCUAUGACCUUUUCCUUGAGGACUUUGCAUUACCAAAGGAGAUAUGCUCUAUCAGCUGAUAAGCCCAGAUACCAUGGACCUGGGACCGUAGG
This is a long non-coding RNA of Lutra lutra (Eurasian river otter), 695 nucleotides long. RefSeq lists it as uncharacterized. The record is from RefSeq and is a predicted model, not a curated record. The transcript is spliced from 4 exons. NCBI's taxonomy places the organism in Eukaryota, Metazoa, Chordata, Mammalia, Carnivora, Mustelidae.